Molecule: microRNA, 21 nt
Filed under: Apopellia endiviifolia
Lineage: Eukaryota; Viridiplantae; Streptophyta; Jungermanniopsida; Pelliales; Pelliaceae
Description: microRNA 8162
Source: RNAcentral
UGGAUCCAUUUCUUACAGACG